Molecule: ribosomal RNA, 643 nt
Filed under: Solicoccozyma aeria
Lineage: Eukaryota; Fungi; Basidiomycota; Tremellomycetes; Filobasidiales; Piskurozymaceae
Description: eukaryotic LSU rRNA
Rfam family: Eukaryotic large subunit ribosomal RNA
Source: RNAcentral
GCAUAUCAAUAAGCGGAGGAAAAGAAACUAACAAGGAUUCCCCUAGUAACGGCGAGUGAAGCGGGAAAAGCUCAAAUUUGAAAUCUGGCAGCCUCAGGUUGUCCGAGUUGUAAUCUAUAGAAACGUUUUCCGCGCCGGCCCAUGUACAAGUCCCUUGGAACAGGGCGUCAUAGAGGGUGAGAAUCCCGUCCUUGACACGGACCACCGGUGCUUUGUGAUACGUUUUCAACGAGUCGAGUUGUUUGGGAAUGCAGCUCAAAAUGGGUGGUAAAUUCCAUCUAAAGCUAAAUAUUGGCGAGAGACCGAUAGCGAACAAGUACCGUGAGGGAAAGAUGAAAAGCACUUUGGAAAGAGAGUUAAACAGUAUGUGAAAUUGUUGAAAGGGAAACGAUUGAAGUCAGUCGUGUCUAUUGGACUCAGCCGGUUCUGCCGGUGUACUUCCUUUAGAUGGGGUCAACAUCAGUUUUGAUCGCUGGAAAAGGGCGGGAGGAAUGUAGCACUCUCGGGUGAACUUAUAGCCUUCCGUCGUAUACAGUGGUUGGGACUGAGGAACGCAGCAUGCCUUUAUGGCCGGGGUUCGCCCACGUACAUGCUUAGGAUGUUGACAUAAUGGCUUUAAACGACCCGUCUUGAAACACGGACC